UACAGAGGGUGCAAGCGUUAAUCGGAAUUACUGGGCGUAAAGCGUGCGCAGGCGGCCCGUUAAGACAGGUGUGAAAUCCCUGGGCUCAACCUAGGAAUUGCGCUUGUGACUGGCGGGCUCGAGUACGGUAGAGGGGGGUGGAAUUCCUGGUGUAGCAGUGAAAUGCGUAGAGAUCAGGAGGAACACCGAUGGCGAAGGCAGCCCCCUGGGCCUGUACUGACGCUCAUGCACGAAAGCGUGGGGAGCAAACAGG
This 253-nucleotide ribosomal RNA is filed under the name uncultured microorganism. Its description in RNAcentral is "partial 16S ribosomal RNA". It matches the Rfam family "Bacterial small subunit ribosomal RNA", at positions 524 to 776 of the family's 1533-position model. The record is from RNAcentral.